This 284-nucleotide unclassified non-coding RNA is filed under the name plant metagenome. RNAcentral's name for it is "partial contains small subunit ribosomal RNA, internal transcribed spacer 1, and 5.8S ribosomal RNA". The stretch from base 1 to 53 matches the Rfam family "Eukaryotic small subunit ribosomal RNA", at positions 1778 to 1831 of the family's 1831-position model. The record is from RNAcentral.
GGAAGUAAAAGUCGUACAAGGUUUCCGUAGGUGAACCUGCGGAAGGAUCAUUAUUGUAUAACCGAGGUGCGAGGGCUGUCGCUGACCCGAAAGGUCGUGCACGCCCGAGUGCCCUCACACACAUCCAUCUCACCCCUAUGUGCACCACCGCGUGGGUCCCCCUUUGGCUUGUUCGGAGGGGGGCUUACGUUUUCACACAAACUUUGUAUGCAGUGUAGAAUGUAUUUUUUGUUUUUGCGAUCAGGCAAUCAAUACAACUUUCAACAACGGAUCUCUUGGCUCUC